This 468-nucleotide ribosomal RNA is filed under the name uncultured bacterium. Its description in RNAcentral is "partial 16S ribosomal RNA". It matches the Rfam family "Bacterial small subunit ribosomal RNA", at positions 28 to 507 of the family's 1533-position model. The record is from RNAcentral.
GACGAACGCUGGCGGCGUGCUUAACACAUGCAAGUCGAACGGAAAGGCCCUGCUUUUGUGGGGUGCUCGAGUGGCGAACGGGUGAGUAACACGUGAGUAACCUGCCCUUGACUUUGGGAUAACUUCAGGAAACUGGGGCUAAUACCGGAUAGGAGCUCCUGCUGCAUGGUGGGGGUUGGAAAGUUUCGGCGGUUGGGGAUGGACUCGCGGCUUAUCAGCUUGUUGGUGGGGUAGUGGCUUACCAAGGCUUUGACGGGUAGCCGGCCUGGGAGGGUGACCGGCCACAUUGGGACUGAGAUACGGCCCAGACUCCUACGGGAGGCAGCAGUGGAGAAUAUUGCACAAUGGGCGGAAGCCUGAUGCAGCAACGCCGCGUGCGGUAUGACGGCCAUCGGGUUGUAAACCGCUUUCGCCUGUGACGAAGCGUGAGUGACGGUAAUGGGUAAAGAAGCACCGGCUAACUACGUG